UCGGUCGGCCGGGAAGAAGUGGCCGGGGCGCUAAUCAGCCCCGGUUUGACUGUACCGGCAAAGGAAGCCCCGGCCUAACUCCGUGC
This 86-nucleotide ribosomal RNA is filed under the name uncultured bacterium. RNAcentral's name for it is "partial 16S ribosomal RNA". The record is from RNAcentral.